Molecule: transfer RNA, 77 nt
Filed under: Deltaproteobacteria bacterium CG2_30_43_15
Lineage: Bacteria; Deltaproteobacteria
Also listed under: 10 other names
Description: tRNA-Arg
Rfam family: tRNA
About the family: Transfer RNA (tRNA) molecules are approximately 80 nucleotides in length. Their secondary structure includes four short double-helical elements and three loops (D, anti-codon, and T loops).
Source: RNAcentral
GCGCCCGUAGCUCAGCUGGAUAGAGCAACGGACUUCUAAUCCGUAGGUCGUCCGUUCGAAUCGGACCGGGCGUGCCA